AGUGAACGCUGGCGGCAGGCCUAACACAUGCAAGUCGAGCGGCAGCGCGUCCGACCACCCUCGGGUGGUCGGAUGGCGGCGAGCGGCGGACGGGUGAGGAAUGCAUCGGAAUCUGCCUCGUUGUGGGGGAUAACGUAGGGAAACUUACGCUAAUACCGCAUGCGACCUACGGGUGAAAGUGGGGGACCUUCGGGCCUCACGCGAUGAGAUGAGCCGAUGCCGGAUUAGCUAGUUGGCGGGGUAAAGGCCCACCAAGGCGACGAUCCGUAGCUGGUCUGAGAGGAUGAUCAGCCACACUGGAACUGAGACACGGUCCAGACUCCUACGGGAGGCAGCAGUGGGGAAUAUUGGACAAUGGGGGGCAACCCUGGUCCAGCCAUGCCGCGUGUGUGAAGAAGGCC
RNAcentral lists this ribosomal RNA (401 nucleotides) under uncultured bacterium. RNAcentral describes it as "bacterial SSU rRNA". It matches the Rfam family "Bacterial small subunit ribosomal RNA", at positions 30 to 416 of the family's 1533-position model. The record is from RNAcentral.